This 473-nucleotide ribosomal RNA is filed under the name uncultured bacterium. Its description in RNAcentral is "bacterial SSU rRNA". It matches the Rfam family "Bacterial small subunit ribosomal RNA", at positions 335 to 801 of the family's 1533-position model. The record is from RNAcentral.
ACUCCUACGGGAGGCAGCAGUAGGGAAUCUUCCACAAUGGGCGCAAGCCUGAUGGAGCAACACCGCGUGAGUGCAGAAGGGUUUCGGCUCGUAAAGCUCUGUUGUUAAAGAAGAACACGUAUGAGAGUAACUGUUCAUACGUUGACGGUAUUUAACCAGAAAGUCACGGCUAACUACGUGCCAGCAGCCGCGGUAAUACGUAGGUGGCAAGCGUUAUCCGGAUUUAUUGGGCGUAAAGAGAGUGCAGGCGGUUUUCUAAGUCUGAUGUGAAAGCCUUCGGCUUAACCGGAGAAGUGCAUCGGAAACUGGAUAACUUGAGUGCAGAAGAGGGUAGUGGAACUCCAUGUGUAGCGGUGGAAUGCGUAGAUAUAUGGAAGAACACCAGUGGCGAAGGCGGCUACCUGGUCUGCAACUGACGCUGAGACUCGAAAGCAUGGGUAGCGAACAGGAUUAGAUACCCUGGUAGGAUAGCG